GGCACUACGGUGCUGAAGCAACAAAUGCCCUGCUUCCAGGAAAAGCCUCUAAGCAUCAGGUAACAUCAAAUCGUACCCCAAACCGACACAGGUGGUCAGGUAGAGAAUACCAAGGCGCUUGAGAGAACUCGGGUGAAGGAACUAGGCAAAAUGGUGCCGUAACUUCGGGAGAAGGCACGCUGAUAUGUAGGUGAAGUCCCUCGCGGAUGGAGCUGAAAUCAGUCGAAGAUACCAGCUGGCUGCAACUGUUUAUUAAAAACACAGCACUGUGCAAACACGAAAGUGGACGUAUACGGUGUGACGCCUGCCCGGUGCCGGAAGGUUAAUUGAUGGGGUUAGCGCAAGCGAAGCUCUUGAUCGAAGCCCCGGUAAACGGCGGCCGUAACUAUAACGGUCCUAAGGUAGCGAAAUUCCUUGUCGGGUAAGUUCCGACCUGCACGAAUGGCGUAAUGAUGGCCAGGCUGUCUCCACCCGAGACUCAGUGAAAUUGAACUCGCUGUGAAGAUGCAGUGUACCCGCGGCAAGACGGAAAGACCCCGUGAACCUUUACUAUAGCUUGACACUGAACAUUGAGCCUUGAUGUGUAGGAUAGGUGGGAGGCUUUGAAGUGUGGACGCCAGUCUGCAUGGAGCCGACCUUGAAAUACCACCCUUUAAUGUUUGAUGUUCUAACGUUGACCCGUAAUCCGGGUUGCGGACAGUGUCUGGUGGGUAGUUUGACUGGGGCGGUCUCCUCCUAAAGAGUAACGGAGGAGCACGAAGGUUGGCUAAUCCUGGUCGGACAUCAGGAGGUUAGUGCAAUGGCAUAAGCCAGCUUGACUGCGAGCGUGACGGCGCGAGCAGGUGCGAAAGCAGGUCAUAGUGAUCCGGUGGUUCUGAAUGGAAGGGCCAUCGCUCAACGGAUAAAAGGUACUCCGGGGAUAACAGGCUGAUACCGCCCAAGAGUUCAUAUCGACGGCGGUGUUUGGCACCUCGAUGUCGGCUCAUCACAUCCUGGGGCUGAAGUAGGUCCCAAGGGUAUGGCUGUUCGCCAUUUAAAGUGGUACGCGAGCUGGGUUUAGAACGUCGUGAGACAGUUCGGUCCCUAUCUGCCGUGGGCGCUGGAGAACUGAGGGGGGCUGCUCCUAGUACGAGAGGACCGGAGUGGACGCAUCACUGGUGUUCGGGUUGUCAUGCCAAUGGCACUGCCCGGUAGCUAAAUGCGGAAGAGAUAAGUGCUGAAAGCAUCUAAGCACGAAACUUGCCCCGAGAUGAGUUCUCCCUGACUCCUUGAGAGUCCUGAAGGAACGUUGAAGACGACGACGUUGAUAGGCCGGGUGUGUAAGCGCAGCGAUGCGUUGAGCUAACCGGUACUAAUGAACCGUGAGGCUUAACCUUACAACGCCGAAG
Molecule: ribosomal RNA, 1388 nt
Filed under: Escherichia coli
Lineage: Bacteria; Pseudomonadati; Pseudomonadota; Gammaproteobacteria; Enterobacterales; Enterobacteriaceae
Description: partial 23S ribosomal RNA
Rfam family: Bacterial large subunit ribosomal RNA
Source: RNAcentral